AUUGAACGCUGGCGGCAGGCGUAAAACAUGCAAGUCGAACGAGUGGCGGACGGGUGAGCAAUGCUUGGGUAUCUAGUUUAUGGAGGGGGAUAACUACGGGAAACUGUAGCUAAUACCGCGUACCAUAGGAUGAGCCCAAGUGGGAUUAGGUAGUUGGUGAGGUAAAGGCUCACCAAGCCGACGAUCUCUAGCUGGUCUGUGAGGAUGAUCUGCCGCAUUGGGACUGAGACACUGCCCAGACUCCUACGGGAGGCAGCAGGGGGGAACAUUGCGCAAUGGAGGCAACGUGACGCAGCCAGGCCGCGUGAAUGAAGAAGUCCUUCGGGUUGUAAAGUUCUUUCGGUAGCGAGGCGUUAACUACAGAAGAAGCACCGGCUAACUCCGUGCCAGCAGCCGCGGUAAUAC
Molecule: ribosomal RNA, 405 nt
Filed under: uncultured bacterium
Lineage: Bacteria
Description: partial 16S ribosomal RNA
Rfam family: Bacterial small subunit ribosomal RNA
Source: RNAcentral